RNAcentral lists this ribosomal RNA (411 nucleotides) under uncultured microorganism. RNAcentral describes it as "bacterial SSU rRNA". It matches the Rfam family "Bacterial small subunit ribosomal RNA", at positions 9 to 416 of the family's 1533-position model. The record is from RNAcentral.
GAGUUUGAUCGUGGCUCAGAUUGAACGCUGGCGGCAUGCCUUACACAUGCAAGUCGAACGGCAGCAUGAUCUAGCUUGCUAGAUUGAUGGCGAGUGGCGAACGGGUGAGUAAUACAUCGGAACGUGCCCUGUAGUGGGGGAUAACUAGUCGAAAGAUUAGCUAAUACCGCAUACGACCUGAGGGUGAAAGUGGGGGACCGCAAGGCCUCAUGCUAUAGGAGCGGCCGAUGUCUGAUUAGCUAGUUGGUGGGGUAAAGGCCCACCAAGGCGACGAUCAGUAGCUGGUCUGAGAGGACGAUCAGCCACACUGGGACUGAGACACGGCCCAGACUCCUACGGGAGGCAGCAGUGGGGAAUUUUGGACAAUGGGCGAAAGCCUGAUCCAGCAAUGUCGCGUGUGUGAAGAAGGCC